GGGAAAGAUUCAUCGGUAUGGGAUGGGGUCGCGUCCUAUCAGCUNGAUGGCGGGGUAACGGCCCACCANGNCUUCGACGGGUAGCCGGCCUGAGAGGGCGACCGGCCACAUUGGGACUGAGAUACGGCCCAGACUCCUACGGGAGGCAGCAGUGGGGAAUAUUGCACAAUGGGCGCAAGCCUGAUGCAGCGACGCCGCGUGCGGGAUGACGGCCUUCGGGUUGUAAACCGCUUUUGACUGGGAGCAAGCCCUUCGGGGUGAGUGUACCUUUCGAAUAAGCACCGGCUAACUACGUGCCAGCAGCCGCGGUAAUACGUAGGGUGCAAGCGUUAUCCGGAAUUAUUGGGCGUAAAGGGCUCGUAGGCGGUUCGUCGCGUCCGGUGUGAAAGUCCAUCGCUUAACGGUGGAU
This 409-nucleotide ribosomal RNA is filed under the name uncultured Bifidobacterium sp. RNAcentral's name for it is "bacterial SSU rRNA". It matches the Rfam family "Bacterial small subunit ribosomal RNA", at positions 200 to 620 of the family's 1533-position model. Lineage: Bacteria; Bacillati; Actinomycetota; Actinomycetes; Bifidobacteriales; Bifidobacteriaceae. The record is from RNAcentral.